Molecule: small nuclear RNA, 107 nt
Organism: Zalophus californianus (California sea lion)
Lineage: Eukaryota; Metazoa; Chordata; Mammalia; Carnivora; Otariidae
Source: Ensembl
GCGCUUGCUUCGGCAGCACAUAUACUAAAACUGGAACAAUACAGAGGAGAUUAGCUUGGACCCUGCACAAGGAUGACAUGCAAAUUUGUGAAGUAGUCCAUAUACUA